Molecule: long non-coding RNA, 418 nt
Organism: Labeo rohita (rohu)
Lineage: Eukaryota; Metazoa; Chordata; Actinopteri; Cypriniformes; Cyprinidae
Exons: 4
Source: RefSeq, a predicted model, not a curated record
UUUUAAUCUAAUUUUGUGUAAAAAUGUCUUUUGACAGCACAAUCACAUAACAAGUCACGAAGGAAAUCGACUAUUGUUUACAUUUAUUGGUCGCAUCAAUGGAUAGUAUGCAUUGAGCGUUGAAGUGCUGUCCGUUUGGAUUUGAUGGGUAAUUGUAUUGUAACGGCGGCUGUGGGCCUGGAGGAAGAGGAGAGGAUGAGGGUGUGAUGACAGACCAGCUGUCCGUGCACAUCCUGUCGGUCCGAGCGAAUGGGAGGACGUGUCUCUACAUGCCCAGACAUGUUCACCUGAUACUCGCUGAGCCCUGAAUUAAGACCUCUGACCUACAGAAGCAUCCGUGCUGGUGUUUAUUGGUCUGAGUGAUGGCACACACUUCAUUGCCUUGGUAUUUUUCCGUCGUGUCUGUACAGCAAUCCAG